GCCCGGAUGGUGAAAUUGGUAGACACGCUAGUUUCAGGGACUAGUGUUCGCAAGGACGUGAGAGUUCGAGUCUCUCUUCGGGCA
RNAcentral lists this transfer RNA (84 nucleotides) under Spirochaetaceae bacterium. RNAcentral describes it as "tRNA-Leu". It matches the Rfam family "tRNA". From Rfam's summary of the family: Transfer RNA (tRNA) molecules are approximately 80 nucleotides in length. Their secondary structure includes four short double-helical elements and three loops (D, anti-codon, and T loops). RNAcentral also lists the same sequence under 4 other names. Lineage: Bacteria; Pseudomonadati; Spirochaetota; Spirochaetia; Spirochaetales; Spirochaetaceae. The record is from RNAcentral.